This 852-nucleotide ribosomal RNA is filed under the name Paraburkholderia sp. RNAcentral's name for it is "bacterial SSU rRNA". It matches the Rfam family "Bacterial small subunit ribosomal RNA", at positions 24 to 873 of the family's 1533-position model. The record is from RNAcentral. Lineage: Bacteria; Pseudomonadati; Pseudomonadota; Betaproteobacteria; Burkholderiales; Burkholderiaceae.
GUUGAUGAACGCUGGCGGCAUGCCUUACACAUGCAAGUCGAACGGCAGCACGGGGGCAACCCUGGUGGCGAGUGGCGAACGGGUGAGUAAUACAUCGGAACGUGUCCUGUAGUGGGGGAUAGCCCGGCGAAAGCCGGAUUAAUACCGCAUACGCUCUACGGAGGAAAGGGGGGGAUCUUAGGACCUCCCGCUACAGGGGCGGCCGAUGGCAGAUUAGCUAGUUGGUGGGGUAAAGGCCUACCAAGGCGACGAUCUGUAGCUGGUCUGAGAGGACGACCAGCCACACUGGGACUGAGACACGGCCCAGACUCCUACGGGAGGCAGCAGUGGGGAAUUUUGGACAAUGGGGGAAACCCUGAUCCAGCAAUGCCGCGUGUGUGAAGAAGGCCUUCGGGUUGUAAAGCACUUUUGUCCGGAAAGAAAACCUCUGGGUUAAUACCCCGGGGGGAUGACGGUACCGGAAGAAUAAGCACCGGCUAACUACGUGCCAGCAGCCGCGGUAAUACGUAGGGUGCAAGCGUUAAUCGGAAUUACUGGGCGUAAAGCGUGCGCAGGCGGUCCGCUAAGACAGAUGUGAAAUCCCCGGGCUUAACCUGGGAACUGCAUUUGUGACUGGCGGGCUAGAGUAUGGCAGAGGGGGGUAGAAUUCCACGUGUAGCAGUGAAAUGCGUAGAGAUGUGGAGGAAUACCGAUGGCGAAGGCAGCCCCCUGGGCCAAUACUGACGCUCAUGCACGAAAGCGUGGGGAGCAAACAGGAUUAGAUACCCUGGUAGUCCACGCCCUAAACGAUGUCAACUAGUUGUCGGGUCUUCAUUGACUUGGUAACGUAGCUAACGCGUGAAGUGACCGUCC